ACCCGGAUGCAUUUCGGGUCAGGUGCUGCAGGCCGAAGCACAGUUACCUGACAGGUAAAGCUCCUCUCUGUGUUGCAGGUGUUCGGAUGGACCGAGUGAGAGGAGGACGGCAGAAGUACAAGAGGCGGGUGGAGACAGGACUGAGUUUAUACGCCAAAGCCCCGUACAGCCACGCCGUCAGCAGCCGAAACAAGGUGAUUUCCCAUUUGCUGCUGACAGAGCCCGAUCAGCCGCCAAUCAGGACAAUUCGACCAAUGACAGCAGCCUGCGGACCCAGCUGACCCUGUGUGACCUCCUGAACCGGGAGCUGCUGGUUCUGAUUAGCUGGGCCAAACAGAUACCAGAUCAAAAUGACACAAACUAACCAGCAACUUCCAUGUUCUGCAAAUUUUACUGUUUCUCCAGGCUCUCAUUGGUCGACCAGAUGUCACUGCUGCAUAGCGGUUGGAUGGAGGCGCUGCUUGUGGGCGUGGCCUGGCGGUCGCAGCGGCG
Micropterus dolomieu (smallmouth bass) is the source of this 492-nucleotide long non-coding RNA. RefSeq lists it as uncharacterized. NCBI's taxonomy places the organism in Eukaryota, Metazoa, Chordata, Actinopteri, Centrarchiformes, Centrarchidae. The transcript is spliced from 3 exons. The record is from RefSeq and is a predicted model, not a curated record.